This 555-nucleotide long non-coding RNA is filed under the name Homo sapiens (human). RNAcentral describes it as "HSALNT0239349". Lineage: Eukaryota; Metazoa; Chordata; Mammalia; Primates; Hominidae. The record is from RNAcentral.
AGGGCGGAAGCAGGAGAGGGAACAGCAGGUGUGGAGGCCUUGCCAUGGGGAGGAACUACGAACCAGCUAGCUCAAUGACGAAGUUUUGCUCUUCUUGUCCAGGAUGGAGUGCAAUGGCGUGAUCUCGGCUCACUGGGUUCAGGCAAUUCUCCUGCCUCAGCCUCCUGAGUAGCUGGGAUUACAGGCAUCCACCACCAUGCCCGGCUAAUUUUUUGUGUUUUUAAUAGAGACAGAGUUUCUCCAUGUUGGCCAGGCUAGUCUCAAACUUCUGACCUCAGGUGAUCCACCUGCCUCAGCCUCCCAAAGUGCUGGGAUUACAGGUGAGAGCCACUGCGCCCGGCCCAUUCUGGGACUUCUGAGCUCUAACCUUAAGAAGAUCAGCAGCUUCUGCGUCCUUCCUCUUAAAAUGCACCUUCUUGGAAAACCCAGCUGUGAGGAAUCUCAAACAGCCACGUGGAGAACUGAGGCCCCAGCCAAGACUAGCAGGAGAGUGAGGCCAUCCCAAAUCCCCAGCAACCACCAGAUGAAGCAGAACUGCCUGGUCAACCCACAGAG